AGGGCAAGUCUGGUGCCCGCAGCCGCGGUAAUUCCAGCUCCAAUAGCGUAUAUUAAAGUUGUUGCAGUUAAAAAGCUCGUAGUUGAAUUUCGGGGUUAGUAGGUUGGUCGUGCCUCAGGUAUGUACUGAUCUCACUGAUUCCUCCUUCCUGAUGAACCGUAAUGCCAUUAAUUUGGUGUUGCGGGGAAACUGGACUGUUACUUUGAAAAAAUUAGAGUGUUUAAAGCAGGCUAACGCUUGAAUACAUUAGCAUGGAAUAAUGAAAUAGGACGUUCGAUCCUAUUUUGUUGGUUUCUAGGAUUGACGUAAUGAUUAAUAGGGAUAGUUGGGGGCAUUAGUAUUCAAUUGUCAGAGGUGAAAUUCUUGGAUUUAUUGAAGACUAACUACUGCGAAAGCAUUUGCCAAGGAUGUUUUCAUUAAUCAAGAACGAAAGUUAGGGGAUCGAAGACGAUCAGAUACCGUCGUAGUCUUAACCAUAAACUAUGCCGACUAGGGAUCGGAUGAUGUUAAUUUUUUAAUGACUCAUUCGGCGCCUUACGGGAA
RNAcentral lists this ribosomal RNA (543 nucleotides) under uncultured Glomeromycotina. Its description in RNAcentral is "SSU rRNA". It matches the Rfam family "Eukaryotic small subunit ribosomal RNA", at positions 552 to 1096 of the family's 1831-position model. The record is from RNAcentral. Lineage: Eukaryota; Fungi; Glomeromycota.